GGACUACUAGGGUUUCUAAUCCUGUUUGCUCCCCACGCUUUCGCGCCUCAGCGUCAGUAUUAUGCCAGAUAGUUGCCUUCGCCAUUGGCGUUCCUUCCGAUCUCUACGCAUUUCACCGCUACAUCGGAAAUUCCACUACCCUCUCAUAUACUCCAGUUACACAGUUUGGUAUGCGCUUCCCAGGUUAAGCCCGGGGCUUUCACAUCCCACACAUCUAACCGCCUACGCGCCCUUUACGCCCAGUAAUUCCGAUUAACGCUCGCACCCUCUGUAUUACCGCGGCUGCUGGCAC
This 292-nucleotide ribosomal RNA is filed under the name uncultured bacterium. RNAcentral's name for it is "partial 16S ribosomal RNA". The record is from RNAcentral.